Molecule: transfer RNA, 73 nt
Filed under: Eurytemora carolleeae
Lineage: Eukaryota; Metazoa; Arthropoda; Copepoda; Calanoida; Temoridae
Description: transfer RNA phenylalanine (anticodon GAA)
Rfam family: tRNA
About the family: Transfer RNA (tRNA) molecules are approximately 80 nucleotides in length. Their secondary structure includes four short double-helical elements and three loops (D, anti-codon, and T loops).
Source: RNAcentral
GCCGUAAUAGCUCAGUUGGGAGAGCGUUAGACUGAAGAUCUAAAGGUCCCCAGUUCGAUCCUGGGUCGCGGCA